Choloepus didactylus (southern two-toed sloth) is the source of this 1296-nucleotide long non-coding RNA. RefSeq lists it as uncharacterized. The transcript has 3 exons. Lineage: Eukaryota; Metazoa; Chordata; Mammalia; Pilosa; Megalonychidae. The record is from RefSeq and is a predicted model, not a curated record.
UGAUUAACUUGUUUGCUCAUUCAUUCAUUCUUGCAGUAAAGAUUAUCGAGCCCUAACUCUGUGCCAAGCAUCAUGCAUGGCAGUGGAGAUUACACUCACAAAGGGGUUCUGCCCCCCUGGAGCAUACAGUAAGACAUUAAACAACUAAGUCUGCUGUAAAGUAUUUAUUUAUAAAACUGUGACAAAUUCCAGGAGGAAGCCAUGCAGGGUACCAUGGUUGGGGAGGCAGGGAAGCUUUCUUGAGGAAGGUGAUAUAUGCAGCUAGUAACCAGCCUGAGGUUAGUGGGAGUGUCCCAGAUGGAGGGAGGGACCAUUCCAUGCAAAGGGCUUGAUUAGAAAUGAGCAUAGCAAGUUUCAAGAAUGGAAAUGGCUCCACGUUGCUCUUAUAAUUAAAUCAGAACUCCUAAGCAAGGCUGACAAGGCCGUCCACGACCCAAGCCCUCCCUCCCCUCCGAAUGUCAUCUCCCCCGACUCGUCCUUCCCCCCGCUCAUCUUCCUCUCACCACUCUGGCCUUGUAUCUGUUCACCGCUUGUUCCCACCUCUGGGCCUUUGCAUUUUCUGUUCCCUCUGCUUAGAAUGCCAUUCCCUCAGCUCCAUCCAUGACCUGUUCUUUCUCACCUUUCAGGUCCUAACUCGGGUGCCACCUCCUGGAAGAGCCUUCCCAGAACAUCUUAACCUAAAGUGGUCUUUUCUGGGCCUUGCAUGACCCCGUUAUGUCAAAACCCUGCUUGCUUUCUUUGGCGAGUUUAUCAUGAUCUGUCACUACCUUCUGUGUUUUAAAGGGCCAGGAGCUGACGCCCAGCAGGAGACAGGGCUCACGGUGGUGGUGAUCAUACGUACUCAAGGCUGUGUGACCUGGAGCAAGUGGCCUGGCUUCUCCAAACUGGAUGUCCUCAUCUCUAUGAAGUGGAGGCAAUUUAUGUUAAAAACGCCACUCAGUGGAAUUGGAGAGAUUAAAGGAGAGCAUGGUUGGAGGAACUCUGCAAUUGAGUGAGUGCUCUAAAUUCACUGGAUGGUAUUCUUGUUAAUGAUAAUAUAACAAUGAUAAGAAAGGUUAAGGGCCACUAACCAACCCUUGAGCAGGGCUAAGCCCUGGGAGAGGGUUGCCAGCGUCAGGCAGCUCUGGUAAGGGCCACAGUGACUACUAACUGGUUAUUAGGACCUCGUUGGUAGCCAGAACCUGAAGGUUGGUCGUUCAAUAAAAACUUGGCCCCGAGAGGGCUGUCCUAGAAGGUCUCGACCGGGACCUGCUAGGUUUAGAACUGUCCCUGCAGCCAACAGGUUGUAAGCCCUUA